Molecule: ribosomal RNA, 301 nt
Filed under: uncultured bacterium
Lineage: Bacteria
Description: partial 16S ribosomal RNA
Rfam family: Bacterial small subunit ribosomal RNA
Source: RNAcentral
CAGCAGCCACGGUAAUACAGAGGUCCCGAGCGUUGUUCGGAUUCACUGGGCGUAAAGGGUGUGUAGGAGGUUGGAUAAGUCAGGUGUGAAAUCCCGCAGCUCAACUGCGGAACUGCAUUCGAUACUGUUCAACUAGAGGAUCGGAGGGGGAAGCGGAAUUCUUGGUGUAGCGGUGAAAUGCGUAGAUAUCAAGAGGAACACCGGUGGCGAAGGCGGCUUCCUGGAAGAUACCUGACUCUGAAACACGAAAGCCAGGGGAGCGAAUGGGAUUAGAUACCCCAGUAGUCCCUGUCUCUUAUAA